This 76-nucleotide transfer RNA is filed under the name Lentisphaerae bacterium RIFOXYA12_FULL_48_11. RNAcentral describes it as "tRNA-Met". It matches the Rfam family "tRNA". From Rfam's summary of the family: Transfer RNA (tRNA) molecules are approximately 80 nucleotides in length. Their secondary structure includes four short double-helical elements and three loops (D, anti-codon, and T loops). Further hydrogen bonds mediate the characteristic L-shaped molecular structure. tRNAs have two regions of fundamental functional importance: the anti-codon, which is responsible for specific mRNA codon recognition, and the 3' end, to which the tRNAs corresponding amino acid is attached (by aminoacyl-tRNA synthetases). tRNAs cope with the degeneracy of the genetic code in two manners: having more than one tRNA (with a specific anti-codon) for a particular amino acid; and 'wobble' base-pairing, i.e. permitting non-standard base-pairing at the 3rd anti-codon position. The record is from RNAcentral. Lineage: Bacteria; Pseudomonadati; Lentisphaerota.
GGCAGGGUAGCUCAGCUGGUAGAGCAGAGGACUCAUAAGCCUUUGGUCAGGGGUUCGAUUCCCCUCCCUGCCACCA